RNAcentral lists this small nuclear RNA (163 nucleotides) under Papio anubis (olive baboon). RNAcentral describes it as "U1 spliceosomal RNA (ENSPANG00000044938.1)". It matches the Rfam family "U1 spliceosomal RNA". Rfam says of the family: U1 is a small nuclear RNA (snRNA) component of the spliceosome (involved in pre-mRNA splicing). Its 5' end forms complementary base pairs with the 5' splice junction, thus defining the 5' donor site of an intron. The record is from RNAcentral. Lineage: Eukaryota; Metazoa; Chordata; Mammalia; Primates; Cercopithecidae.
AUACUUACCUGGCAGGGAGAUACCUGGCGAUCACGAAGGUGGUUUUCCCCAGGGUUAGGCUUAUCCAUUGCACCCGGAUAAAGACUUCUGCGAUUUCCCAAAUGUGGGAAAACUCUGACGUGCUAAUUUUGUGGUAGUGGGGACUGCGUUCGCGCUUUCCCCU